GAUGAACGCUGGCGGCGUGCUUAACACAUGCAAGUCGAACGAUUAACCCAUCUUCGGAUGGUUAUAGAGUGGCGAACGGGUGAGUAACACGUGACCAACCUACCUUCUACAUUGGGAUAACUCAGAGAAAUUUGAGCUAAUACCAAAUACUCCGGUACCUUCGCAUGUUGGUUCCGGGAAAGCUCCGGCGGUAGAAGAUGGGGUCGCGGCCUAUUAGAUAGUUGGUGGGGUAACGGCCUACCAAGUCAGCGAUAGGUAGCCGGGUUGAGAGACUGAUCGGCCACAUUGGGACUGAGAUACGGCCCAAACUCCUACGGGAGGCAGCAGUGGGGAAUUUUGCGCAAUGGGCGAAAGCCUGACGCAGCAACGCCGCGUGCGGGAUGACGGCCUUCGGGUUGUAAACCGCUUUCAGCAGGGAAGAAUUUUGACGGUACCUGCAGAAGAAGCUCCGGCUAACUACGUGCCAGCAGCCGCGGUAAUACGUAGGGAGCAAGCGUUAUCCGGAUUUAUUGGGCGUAAAGCGCGCGUAGGCGGUUUGUUAAGCGGAAUCUCUAAUCUGAGGGCUCAACCCCCAGCCGGAUUCCGAACUGGCAGACUUGAGUUUGGUAGAGGAAGAUGGAAUUCCCAGUGUAGCGGUGAAAUGCGCAGAUAUUGGGAAGAACACCGAUGGCGAAGGCAGUCUUCUGGGCCAUAACUGACGCUGAGGUGCGAAAGCUAGGGGAGCAAACAGGAUUAGAUACCCUGGUAGUCCUAGCCGUAAACGAUGGGCACUAGGUGUGGGGAGGAAUACCUUUCCGUGCCGCAGCUAACGCAUUAAGUGCCCCGCCUGGGGAGUACGGCCGCAAGGCUA
This 850-nucleotide ribosomal RNA is filed under the name uncultured bacterium. RNAcentral describes it as "bacterial SSU rRNA". It matches the Rfam family "Bacterial small subunit ribosomal RNA", at positions 28 to 896 of the family's 1533-position model. The record is from RNAcentral.